Molecule: long non-coding RNA, 558 nt
Organism: Sinocyclocheilus anshuiensis
Lineage: Eukaryota; Metazoa; Chordata; Actinopteri; Cypriniformes; Cyprinidae
Exons: 3
Source: RefSeq, a predicted model, not a curated record
GAAUGUGUAAUUAAUAAUUUUAGUAUGUGGUAACCAUUUUAUAAAAGAAGUAAACCACUCAAGACUAUGCUAUUCUGAAUAUUGUCAUAGCUGUAGACAACCCGCGACACAUUGUGGCUAACUAUUCAUAAUGGAGUGAAGCCUUACGUACCUCAUUGCUUAAAUGUAUGUGCCAUUUCUAGUCUUAAUAAUUAGCCCCUUUAGUAUAACAGUUAGUAAAGUACACCUCGUGGCUCUAACCUAUCAUGAUUUCAUGAUCUCAUUUUCCAUUAGAUAUUUGAGAGGCCAAAAUUAGGUUCUGACGUCUCCUCAGUGGACGGAGCCAACCUUGAAAUUGAAAAGAACCUGCUUGAGAGAAUCAAGUCCAUUAAGAAGGAAAAGAACGAUUUGGCCUUCAGACUGCCUGAGUUUGACCAGGAUAGCUCUGAUGCUGAGAACAUGGACUCAGAAUCAUUAGUCAGCUCUGAUAGUCUACUAGAAGACCAUUGUGUGAGUUUGGACUCGGAAGCAAACACUGCCUUGAACAGCUCUAAGCCAGAAAAACCUGCUAAACGACAU